Helianthus annuus (common sunflower) is the source of this 1272-nucleotide long non-coding RNA. RefSeq lists it as uncharacterized. The record is from RefSeq and is a predicted model, not a curated record. Lineage: Eukaryota; Viridiplantae; Streptophyta; Magnoliopsida; Asterales; Asteraceae. The transcript has 4 exons.
UUGGUAAAAUAAACUAACCAGGAUUGGCAUUAACCUAGUUAAAUGACAACUUAUGAGUAGUUAAAAUGUUAAAACAAAAGAAAAAUGAAACUUGAGGGACUAAAGUUGUGUAAGUGAAAACUAGUAAUAAUAAAACAAAAAAAAAAUUAAAACACAACACUUGUUUGUGUUGUUGGGUUCGAUCAGAAGGCAGGGGGCGACUUCAAGCUCCCCAAAACCCUAGUUCACAUCAAAAACCAACAAUUGAAGGAUCAAAUCGAGUCCAAAACGAAAAUCGAGCAUAUAUUCGUGAUCCCCAUUGAAAGGAGAUCAUAAGUUUGUCGCCUAACGAGCUAGGUGGAGGCUUGGAAAAGAAGCGGUCAAACGAAUCAAGCACGAGAAGAAAACGUAUUCGGAUGCGAGGUAAGUAGAGCUUACGCCCCUUUACAUUAUUUGCAAAGUUACUUAAUUUCAAGUAAUGAUAUGAAUGCUACUAAGUGGUUGGUAUAUGAUAUUCCGACGCGAUUCAAUGAGAGUUGGAAUGAGGGGAAAAUGGUAAAUUAGUCAUGUAAUGACGAAUAAUUAAAAACGGUUUUAAGUAAAACAAGUUCAAAGAAAACCGGGAUAGGUAAAAGGGGUGAAAUGGUAAUUAAAUACCAUCUCAACACGGACAAAUGGUCAAUUAGACUAAAUGGGUCAAAUGGUGUGGAUAACACCAUUUGGCAAUAACAUUUGACAAUCGCUUGUUGAGUUUUGUGAUUUCAGGAAAUAACAUGUGUUGCGUUGCUUUAAUUAGAAAAUUUAAAGCAAGAAGUAUGUAAACGGGUCAAUACUAUGAUCCGAGCCAGGUGAAGAUGGGAUAAGCGGUUUGAAAGAUACGAAAGUUUUCGUGCAAAUAAACGGCAAAAUAGGAAGGCUGGAAUGCAGGGGCCACCGUAACUUACGGUGCCACCGUAAGUUACGGUGGAGCUGAAGGCUUUACGGCAGCCCCCUACUGAUUUACGGUAGGGGCAUGUCACACCAGGGGCCACCGUAACUUACGGUGCCACCGUAAGUUACGGUGGAGGCCAGUUGGAAAUCCAUGUUUUGAGAUCAAAAGUUUAACGUUCUUUUUGGAUGCCGGAAGACGAUCAAGCUCAUCGAAGGACCGAACACGAUAAAGAUACAUGCUUCCGCACAUUUCCUCGUCGUAAAUUUUUAAACGACAAACUCGAUCACUUAUGUUGAAUAACUUAUGAUUUGUAAAAGUUUUAAUAAACUCGUAUUUUCAUAGUAUGUGUAAACUUAAUUACA